Molecule: long non-coding RNA, 2194 nt
Organism: Trifolium pratense (red clover)
Lineage: Eukaryota; Viridiplantae; Streptophyta; Magnoliopsida; Fabales; Fabaceae
Exons: 3
Source: RefSeq, a predicted model, not a curated record
AAGUUAAUCCUACCACUAUCAUUGAUGGUUCGCUUUCUUCCUCCACCACCAAGGGUUCUCAUAUCUUCCAUCACAGACAGUUCCUUCCUUUUUCUCAAGAUCCUUUCAGUUUGAUUUCUGCAAUUUAGCUUCUCAAAACCCCUAACUCAGGUAACUCGUUUGACAGAGGUGAAGUGUUAUGUUUUAUUCAUAAGAGUUGAACUAUAUUUUUGUAUUGGUUGUUUUUUGUUUUUUAUUUUUUAUUUUUAUUUUGCUGAGUUGAAGUGAUUUUGCUUCAAGCUUCUAUUUUGUGUUGAUUUUGUUGAGUUAAUGUGAUUUGUUUUGUUUGGUUGACUUCAAAUAAUAUUUUUGUCGCUAUAAAGUGAUUAUUCUUGAGUUAAAGUGAUUUUGUUGAGUCAAAGUCAUUUUUUUGAGUUAACGUGAUUACCAUUUUGUGAACUGAGAUGAACAUCGCAAGAUGAAGCAACCUGUGCGAGAUGCGAGUAUAGUAAUAGAUUUGAAAGGAUUGUGGAUUUGGUGUUUGUGUUUGGAUUGGUGUUUUGGAGGCACGUGAGGUGUGAAUGGUGUGAAGUUGGCGGAGGAGUUCGUCGGGAAUCGGUGGGAGUGAUUUAGGGGGUAGUAGAGAGGUGGUACAGAGAGAGAGAGAGAGAAUGUUGGUGGCUACCAUUGCUAUUAGGAGUAGAAGGUUUAGAGUCAUGGUGAUAAACAUGAAUUUAUUUUGGUCUUCAACUCCAUUGUUUUUCAUGUAAAAGGAGCAAUUUCACAUUCCAUGAUCUUUUCUCAAUCUGCAGCAUCACAUUCUUAUCCUUGUUCUCAAUAACCCCUUUUAAACUUGGUACAUACCACAUAGUAUAAUAGUAUUAUCAAUCAUUAUAAUUUAUAAUCAUAUCAUAACAUAUACUAAUAAAUGUUGUGUGAUUGAACUUACGUACCAGCCGAUUUUGUGCCUAUGAUUAAUAGGCUUUAUGAGAAUUGUGAAAAAAGGAUUGCUUGAGUUGAAAUUUUUAGCUACUUCCUGAGUUUUAGCUCCCUUUAGCCAAUUCAUUGAUGAAGCUGUUCUUUGACUUAUAGUCUUCUUAAUCUCACCUGCAUAUAUGUGAGGAAUGUAAAACAAAGAGAGGAAACUAGCAUUUCACUGAGUCAACUUUACUAUUAUUUUCUCUUCUUCUCAUAAUUUAAUUUCUACAGUUUCAUUUUCCAAUCAUUGCAUUUGGUAUGUGAUAUGCUGAACUAAUCAUGGCAUUUUUCCACUAUUCUUAAAUAUGUCAUUGUCUUCUUAUCUUAAGAUAUUUAUUCCACUUUGUUUCUUGACAAAAGAAUCUGAUAUUUUUUUGCAAGAGCAAUAAAUUCAGCUAUCUUUAUCUGUUUGCUUUUAUAUUUUUCCCUAUUAAGCAUGUAUUUUUUCCUAUUAGUAUCCACUUUGUUCAAUUUAGCUAUUUGCAUCGUUCUUACUUGUUUGUUAUCAAUGCUUGCAAUGUCGCGUGUUUGGAGUCUCACAAUGGGAACACCAUAUGAGGAUGCACGAAACAAAAGGAUGGAAGAGAACCAAAAAAGAAUGGAAGCUCUGAAUCUACCUAAACUCUCUCAAUCCCAUUACAAAUCGUCUUCCAUCACAAAACCCUCGAAAAUUAAUAAGGAAGUAGGGUUGAAACCAAAGCUGAAAGUAAACGAGGAGGGUGAGCUACCUAAAGUAAGAUCAAGCCAGGAAUUGGCUAAGUUAUACUGAAUCAAGCGUGAGAAAAUACAGAGUAAUAUUGAACAACCUAAUGCACAUGUGGCUGGAAAAUGAUGUGGAUGACAUGAUGGGACAAGCUUUGGGCAUUGAAAAUGCAGCACUCCAUUCAUCUACAUCGACCCAUGUUCCUGAAAAGUUCAAGUCACUGCACUCUACACAUAAUUCUGCGCUUCCUUAACCAAUGAUGAUCAUGAUCCUUUGAAGUUUUUGCCAUAUGGGUUUAUUGAUAAGACUAAAGAACAAGGUUUUUUGGUUCUUUAUGAGGCCCCACAAGUUCAAAUUCUUAGUCACAAUGCAAUUGGUGGUUUUUAAGUCAUUGUGGAUGGAAGGGUUGUUGAAAGAUACUUUAGUUAAGUUAGUUGUUCGUUUUUAAAUGUAUACUCGUACGUUACAAAAAAUAAAUUUUAUGUCUUGACAUCAACAAUUUUCUUAUAAAAUAUAAUAAAAAAUCUAAUCAAA